AUACGGAGGGUGCAAUCGUUAAUCGGAAUUACUGGGCGUAAAGCGUACGUAGGCGGUUCGUUAAGUUAGAUGUGAAAGCCCCGGGCUUAACCUGGGAACUGCAUUCAAAACUGGCGAACUCGAGUUAAGUAGAGGGGAGUGGAAUUUCAGGUGUAGCAGUGAAAUGCGUAGAGAUCUGACAGAACACCAGUGGCGAAGGCGACUCCCUGGACUUGAACUGACGCUGAGGUACAAAAGCGUGGGUAGCAAACGGGAUUAGAAACCCUAGUAGUCC
This 274-nucleotide ribosomal RNA is filed under the name uncultured bacterium. RNAcentral's name for it is "partial 16S ribosomal RNA". It matches the Rfam family "Bacterial small subunit ribosomal RNA", at positions 523 to 796 of the family's 1533-position model. The record is from RNAcentral.